UACGUAGGGCGCAAGCGUUGUCCGGAAUUAUUGGGCGUAAAGAGCUCGUAGGCGGCCUGUUGCGUCCGCUGUGAAAUCCCGGGGCUCGACCCCGGGCGUGCAGUGGAUACGGGCUGGCUGGAGGCAGGCAGGGGAGAACGGAAUUCCUGGUGUAGCGGUGAAAUGCGCAGAUAUCAGGAGGAACACCGGUGGCGAAGGCGGUUCUCUGGGCCUGUACUGACGCUGAGGAGCGAAAGCGUGGGGAGCGAACAGG
This 253-nucleotide ribosomal RNA is filed under the name uncultured bacterium. RNAcentral's name for it is "partial 16S ribosomal RNA". It matches the Rfam family "Bacterial small subunit ribosomal RNA", at positions 524 to 776 of the family's 1533-position model. The record is from RNAcentral.